ACAUAUUCUACUCAUCUUUUGCGACUCCGGCCAUACUCCCUGCAACAGAUGUUCCCGAAGGUGUAAAGGAAAAAGGGUAGUUGAACAAGUGGCUCUGAUAUUAAAGCUGAAUUGUGGUAAGCUUUCAUCGCUAAGGUUCUGAUCUUUCCCUAACUCUUACUUAAUGAAAUCAUAAAGGCCUAUGGCUCUUUUGUUCGACUAAAGGUACAAAUGUUUUGAGCUUCCGUUAUAAGAUAGGAGAUGGUUUAAAAUAAUUUUUUAAAUUGUCUAUACUAAAGAAAAAUGUAAAUAUAUGAGUCUUUAAAAAUUACUCC
RNAcentral lists this long non-coding RNA (314 nucleotides) under Felis catus (domestic cat). RNAcentral describes it as "lncRNA (ENSFCAG00000045540.2)". Lineage: Eukaryota; Metazoa; Chordata; Mammalia; Carnivora; Felidae. The record is from RNAcentral.